This 93-nucleotide microRNA precursor is filed under the name Mayetiola destructor (Hessian fly). Lineage: Eukaryota; Metazoa; Arthropoda; Insecta; Diptera; Cecidomyiidae. The record is from RNAcentral.
UUGUGCUUCAUUCAGUUGGUGAGCAUGAAUUUGGUUCACGUUUAUAAAAGUGUUCUUGACUAGAUUCAAUGCUCAUCUAUUGAGCGGAGCGAA